AUUGCUAUUAUGUUUUCUUUAUUAUUUAUUUCCUUCAAAGUUACAAAGUAGCCAGUGGUUUUUAAAAGUCUAAUUUUGAAAUGUGGCAAGAAAAUUGAAAUGCAAACAUUUUGUACUUUGAGGGUGUCUUACAACAGAGCAAACUGGGCUUUUUUUUUUUUUUUUUUCCUGCUUUUUAAGAGGGAAGGUAAGAAAGUCAGGAUAAAGUUAGGGUAUUGUAGGAGUAGAUACAAUGAACUAACCCCCAUAAUGUAUAACCCCAAACAAUACAACUAGCACCCCAAAUUACAAUCAAAAGACUUUAGAAACAAAGGAACGAAGCCCAGAGACAACCCACACAAGAAGUAUGCAACCCAACCAAGAAAUAAACCCAAAAGAGAGACAAUCAGCAGGAGAGAGAAAAUCUCCUGUGUAGGGUAAUCUAGAGGGUGGGGAGGCGGCUGCAGCACUGUGGAGCUCAGAAUGAGCUGCGACUUGGGUCACAGGCAGCCCCUAAGGAGGGUACAAAAACCUAAAAGUUUGGGGAACUUUUGAUGGAGGGUUAUGGAGAUACUUACUUUCUUGAUUUUCAACCCGAGGAGAGAGAUCGCAGGCUUUAAGAGAGAGAAAUCUGUUGAGUCGAUUCUGAUGCUGGAAUGCUUGGACAGAUCUGAACUUUUAACCUUUUACAGUGGCAGUGCACACGAAAGCAAGCAAUUAUCAAUGAGCUGAAGUAAAUAAAAAAACAAGAACCAAGAGAAUUGUGAGUGGGUGGCUAUCUCGGCCCAGGCAUCUCACCCACAACUAUUUUGGCUGUUUAGAAGCAAUUGACUACAAUCUUUAUUUAUUCAAAUCUGAAAUUAUGAGUACAUAGGCUCCUCUAUUUAAAGAGGGCAGAAUAACAAUCCUAUCAUAACUAGGAGCUAGUUUCCAAAUAGGAUUAGACACUCCUAACAGGACUUGGUCUCAUAAUAGGACUAGGACUAUAACUCCAACAUGGAGUAAACUAAGUAACUAAUAGUCCAUAUAGGACAUUACAAUUGGUGGGCCCAAUGGGCCGCACUUAUUACAAUUAAUUAAAUCCCUAUAGCUAGAAUUGAUGGGCCCAAUGGGCCUUCAUUCUAAGAACUAAUUUAGCCACUUGAAGUGUAACACCCCAAAUCUCACCUCUUUACAUUAACUGUGAACAGGCAAAAGUAACAGGCUAGAGAGGCCAACACUAGUUUGGUUGGUAGUAGUGGAGUGCCAGGAAGGAAAGAAUGACCCAACAUGUUCCUGACAGAGCCAACACUAGUUUGGUUGGCAGUAGUGGAGUGCCAGGAAGGAAAGAAUGACCCAACAUGUUCCUGUGCCUUCUGUCAACAAUGUUGGAAGAAACAACAAGAAAAGUGGUUCAACAAGUAUUUAUUAACCUUUCAUAAGGGUUAGUAAUAAAAAGGGGACUAAAUAGACUCUAAAAGAGAAAAUCUGGCUCAACAAGCUGGAGAGUUCUAGAAAUGACAGGCCGGCCUGUUGACUGGACAGAAUAGUCAGUUUUGACUGUGGUGAGUCCCACUUUGUAAUUUGACAUGAGGACCUAUUUUUAUUAGUCUGUUAUGAUAAAAUAAAAUAAAUAAUAAUUUAGAAUAAGAAUUAUAUAAUUUAAAGUUAAGCAUGUAAUUAAUUAUAUAUGUAGUCAUAUUAUGACAUAAUGUAAGUUAUAUAUAUAUUAUUAUGAGUGAGUGGAACAUUCCACUAGGGAAUUGGGGCUAUAAAAAAGGCCACCACCGACUUUAGUAUUUCAAUUCUCACUUGGACAGAAAGAGAAGGAAGGGAGAAAGAAGAAGAAGAAGAAGAAGAAGGGCUGCUGUUCAUGUACUUUUGGGGCUGCAACUACAUGUUUUCUGUGCUCCUGCUGUGCUCUCUUGCUGGUGUUAUUGAGAUACUGCUGCUGCUGUAGAAAAGGAUGUAUGCAAGACAAGAUGAGAGGUGCAAGGGGCUGUCCAAGCUGAAAUCCUUUUGACAUUUUACUGCAUAUAUUGAGCUGUGGCUGUACCUGUUCAGAGAGGAACAUAAACCACACGGCGAGGAUAUGCGGUGACGGGAACUCAACGGUAACAACUGUGAUUUGGGUAACAAGUUGAGGGGUGCUUGACUUUAUUUUACGGAGUGUUUCUACAUUAUUUUCUAUUUUUUCAUGAAUUAUGUGAAUGUAUGACUUGUUAUGUUGCUGUUAUGCAUGUUGUUGCUAUUAGUAUCUGUUACCUUGUGAAUAUGGAUUGGCAAGACUGUGGAUAGGUUUCUGGACUGCAGAGGUAAGUGAGGUAAGCCAUUGUGAUUAUGUGAUUGUGUGUUGUGAAUAUGGAAUGUGGCUAUAUGGAUGUGGACCACAGUUGUAACUGUGGUAUUGGCGUUCUGGGGCACAGUGUGGCCGAAGUGCAUUUCCGGUACCGUGGGCCCAGAGGUCAGUAGCAUAGUUAUGAUUGUGGCUCUGACGGUCUAGGGCAUGGUGUGGCCGAGGUUCUAUCCAGUACCAUGGGCCUAGAGGUCAGAGGAAGAGUGAUGUAUGAUGAGUGGUAAUGAUUGUAACAUCGAUGGUCUGAGGCACCUUGUAACAUUUUCGGUACCGUGGGCUUAGAGGUCGGUAUUACAGUGAUGGCCAGUGUUGUAUGAUAUGGAAGCAUAUAGAAUGCAUGGUUAGGAUUCAUAAACCAUGGUGCUACACCCCUUGCCAGUAGGGGGUUAGGUAUUGGCUAAUCCCAAAGGGUGGUAUGUUAUUGAGAAUACGACGUAUUGUACUCCGAGGUGAAAAUAGCACGGGUGACCAAUUGUGUAGGAUUUCGGGACCGUGGAAGUUCACAGCAUGGGUGACCGAUUGUGUAGGAUUCCGGGACCAUGGCUAUCUGUUUGGGGUUACCUUUAGAGGUUUGCAGGGAGACAAAUUGUGUAGGAUUUCAGGACCUACAAACUUCCGCUUGCAGCGAGCUUGUAUUCCUGAGGCCCAACGUACAGGGUAGGGAAUGCCACCUACCCUGCAUAGCACCUAUAUCAUAUGAUGGACCUAGUAAUGGAAGUAGGAAAA
Molecule: long non-coding RNA, 3040 nt
Organism: Macadamia integrifolia
Lineage: Eukaryota; Viridiplantae; Streptophyta; Magnoliopsida; Proteales; Proteaceae
Exons: 2
Source: RefSeq, a predicted model, not a curated record